GGAGGAGUGGCAGAGUGGUCGAAUGCGGCGGUCUUGAAAACCGUUAGGCCUUCACGGGUCUCGUGGGUUCGAAUCCUACCUCCUCCG
RNAcentral lists this transfer RNA (87 nucleotides) under Turneriella parva DSM 21527. Its description in RNAcentral is "tRNA-Ser (TGA) (tRNA-Ser-TGA-1-1)". It matches the Rfam family "tRNA". Rfam says of the family: Transfer RNA (tRNA) molecules are approximately 80 nucleotides in length. Lineage: Bacteria; Pseudomonadati; Spirochaetota; Leptospiria; Leptospirales; Leptospiraceae. The record is from Rfam by way of RNAcentral. RNAcentral also lists the same sequence under 4 other names.